CACGGAGUUAGCCGAUGCUUUUUCUUCGGGUACUCUCAAUACGACUCCGCAGAGCCUUUUUGCUCCCCGACAAAAGAGGUUUACAAUCCUUAGGACAUUCUUCCCUCACGCGACUUGGCUGGUUCAGCCUCUCGGCCAUUGACCAAUAUUCCUCACUGCUGCCUCCCGUAGGAGUCUGGUCCGUGUCUCAGUACCAGUGUGGGGGGCCUUCCUCUCAGAACCCCUACGCAUCGUCGGCACGGUGGGCCGUUACCCCGCCGUCUACCUAAUGCGACGCAUGUCCAUCCUAUGCCGGAUCUCUCCUUUAACCUCCCAGAAAUGCUCCCAAAAGGUGUUACGCGGUAUUAGGCCGGAUUUCUCCGAGUUAUCCCCCUGCAUAGGGCAGGUUACAUACGUGUUACUCACCCGUGCGCCGGUCGCCGGCAGGCAUAUUGCUACGCCCCCGCUGCCCCUCGACUUGCAUGUGUUAAGCCUGUCGCUAGCGUUCAUCCUGAGCCAGGAUCAAACUCU
This 510-nucleotide ribosomal RNA is filed under the name uncultured Porphyromonadaceae bacterium. Its description in RNAcentral is "partial 16S ribosomal RNA". Lineage: Bacteria; Pseudomonadati; Bacteroidota; Bacteroidia; Bacteroidales; Porphyromonadaceae. The record is from RNAcentral.